GCAUAACAGCUGCACCAACACAUAGGUGCUCACACCACCAACGGACAAUAACCGACAAAGACAGAGGGAACAUAUAUACUGAUCAGGGGAAAUGGGAAGCAGGUGUGUGUUAUCAGACAAGACAGUCCGGGGGUUGAUGAUAAUGGAACCAGGUGUGUGUUAUCAGACAAGACAGUCCGGGGGUUGAUGAUAAUGGAACCAGGUGUGUGUUAUCAGACAAGACAGUCCGGGGGUUGAUGAUAAUGGAACCAGGUGUGUGUUAUCAGACAAGACAGUCCGGGGGUUGAUGAUAAUGGAACCAGGUGUGUGUUAUCAGACAAGACAGUCCGGGGGUUGAUGAUAAUGGAACCAGGUGUGUGUUAUCAGACAAGACAGUCCGGGGGUUGAUGAUAAUGGAACCAGGUGUGUGUUAUCAGACAAGACAGUCCGGGGGUUGAUGAUAAUGGAACCAGGUGUGUGUUAUCAGACAAGACAGUCCGGGGGUUGAUGAUAAUGGAACCAGGUGUGUGUUAUCAGACAAGACAGUCCGGGGGUUGAUGAUAAUGGAACCAGGUGUGUGUUAUCAGACAAGACAGUCCGGGGGUUGAUGAUAAUGGAACCAGGUGUGUGUUAUCAGACAAGACAGUCCGGGGGUUGAUGAUAAUGGAACCAGGUGUGUGUUAUCAGACAAGACAGUCCGGGGGUUGAUGAUAAUGGAACCAGGUGUGUGUUAUCAGACAAGACAGUCCGGGGGUUGAUGAUAAUGGAACCAGGUGUGUGUUAUCAGACAAGACAGUCCGGGGGUUGAUGAUAAUGGAACCAGGUGUGUGUUAUCAGACAAGACAGUCCGGGGGUUGAUGAUAAUGGAACCAGGUGUGUGUUAUCAGACAAGACAGUCCGGGGGUUGAUGAUAAUGGAACCAGGUGUGUGUUAUCAGACAAGACAGUCCGGGGGUUGAUGAUAAUGGAACCAGGUGUGUGUUAUCAGACAAGACAGUCCGGGGUUGAUGAUAGUGAAUCCCGUUCAGUGAAGCCUAGAAAGCUGGUGACGGAGAACUCCGUAACUGGUGAACAGAAUGAGCAUCAGUAUCGGGGGGAUCCGUGACAGUUACCAGGAACCUGUCUGCCCAUAUCCAACCUAUUUAUCUCACCAUUUCAGUGUUACAACCACCAGUAUAGAACUAACAUAUGAAACCCAGCAUUAAGCCCCACCUCUCAUCUCCACCAGGUAGUAC
Molecule: long non-coding RNA, 1213 nt
Organism: Oncorhynchus keta (chum salmon)
Lineage: Eukaryota; Metazoa; Chordata; Actinopteri; Salmoniformes; Salmonidae
Exons: 3
Source: RefSeq, a predicted model, not a curated record